Molecule: ribosomal RNA, 468 nt
Filed under: uncultured bacterium
Lineage: Bacteria
Description: partial 16S ribosomal RNA
Rfam family: Bacterial small subunit ribosomal RNA
Source: RNAcentral
GACGAACGCUGGCGGCGUGCUUAACACAUGCAAGUCGAACGGAAAGGCCCUGCUUUUGUGGGGUGCUCGAGUGGCGAACGGGUUAGUAACACGUGAGUAACCUGCCCUUUACUUUGGGAUAACUUCAGGAAACUGUGGCUAAUACCGGAUAGGAGCUCCUGCUGCAUGGUGGGUGUUGGAAAGUUUCGGCGGUUGGGGAUGGACUCGCGGCUUAUCAGCUUGUUGGUGGGGUAGUGGCUUACCAAGGCUUUGACGGGUAGCCGGCCUGAGAGGGUGACCGGCAACAUUGGGACUGAGAUACGGCCCAGACUCAUACGGGAGGCAGAAGUGGGGAAUAUUGAAAAAUGGGCGGAAGCCUGAUGCAGAAACGCCGCGUGCGGGAUGACGGCCUUCGGGUUGUAAACCGAUUUCGCCUGUGACGAAGAGUGAGUGACGGUAAUGGGUAAAGAAGCACCGGCUAAAUAAGUG